RNAcentral lists this long non-coding RNA (281 nucleotides) under Brassica napus (rape). RNAcentral describes it as "long non-coding RNA (BNAP_LNC004365)". Lineage: Eukaryota; Viridiplantae; Streptophyta; Magnoliopsida; Brassicales; Brassicaceae. The record is from RNAcentral.
UGAUGACUGAGUUCAUUACAUUGCUUAAUUUCGUGAAAUGAAACUUUAAUAGCUAGUUAAGGAAUUGGGUGUAGUGACUAGUCGGUUCUCGUUUCGCAUUGAGCAGUAUAGAGGCUCAUGGGGGAGACUGGUCAAGAAUCGCUUCACUGAGUAUUCAUACUCACCCCUCUUUUUCCCUCUCCCUCUUUGUCGAACUAUAAGUGGAAGUGUCGAUGGAAAGAAAGGAAACGCACCUGAAACUUAUGAGACCAGAAACGGGACACACGGAGAUGUCGGGAAAG